GAUGAACGCUAGCGGCAGGCUUAAUACAUGCAAGUCGAACGGUAAGGUCUCUUCGGAGAUACACGAGUGGCGCACGGGUGCGUAACGCGUAUGCAACCUACCUUUAACUGGGAAAUAGCCCCGAGAAAUCGGGAUUAAUGUCCCAUAUUAUUCUCUGAAUGCAUAUUUGGGGAAUGAAAGCUCCGGCGGUUAUUGAUGGGCAUGCGUGACAUUAGCUAGUUGGUGAGGUAACGGCUCACCAAGGCUACGAUGUCUAGGGGUCCUGAGAGGGUUAACCCCCACACUGGUACUGAGACACGGACCAGACUCCUACGGGAGGCAGCAGUAAGGAAUAUUGGGCAAUGGACGCAAGUCUGACCCAGCCAUGCCGCGUGAAGGAUGAAUGUCCUAUGGAUUGUAAACUUCUUUUAUGCAGGAAAAAUAUCCCGGCCGUGAACCGGGACUGAUGGUACUGUAUGAAUAAGCAUCGGCUAACUCCGUGCCAGCAGCCGCCGUAACAC
Molecule: ribosomal RNA, 500 nt
Filed under: uncultured bacterium
Lineage: Bacteria
Description: bacterial SSU rRNA
Rfam family: Bacterial small subunit ribosomal RNA
Source: RNAcentral